Molecule: long non-coding RNA, 5979 nt
Organism: Scophthalmus maximus (turbot)
Lineage: Eukaryota; Metazoa; Chordata; Actinopteri; Pleuronectiformes; Scophthalmidae
Exons: 6
Source: RefSeq, a predicted model, not a curated record
ACGAUGUGACAGUGUAAAAUGUGAUCAUUAAAUCUGGGCUGAGGUCACUAGAACCCCAUGUCAGCUGCUGUUUGACUUUUUGCAGUGAGGAGGUGCGCAGGGUGUAACGUCACUACACAGCAGCUGUCAUUGAUGAACUUUACCCCUCAACGGGAACUGCGACUACCUGUCAACAUCCCCUCAACAAAGGAACCAAACACUCGACCCCUGAUGUAUCCUAACUUCUGGUCAGACGCGACGGUCCACAAUAAGAAAAGUUGCCGGGGGACUUUUAUUGCCGACGGACCGCUCGAAAGUUUGAAUGAAGAUAGAAGAUUGAGGACUUUGAGAAGUAGGGAACAUUUCUGUUCAAAGUCCAAGAUUUAAGAAGAUGUCAGGGAGAUUACUUAUCUUUACCAGGUCUUCUUCAGUGUCUGUGACAAUGUGCAAACUCCUUCUGCUGAUGAAAGCCACAGGAUGCUACAAAAAGGCACCAGAAGAAAUCUUGUAAGCAUAACCUUGGAACUGUAGGAAUUACCCCCCAUGCAUUAUUAGCUGACCAGAUCUGCUUGGUUUCAUCUGAACUACACCGUUGAUGGGAAUCUGAUUUCUAACAUCCUGCAACAAAUUUCCGGAGACGUGCAACACAAGGGUGAAAGGUCUGAAUCGGGAUUCAAACCACAAACCUUCUUGCUGUGAGUUGAUAGUGGUAACCACUGCACCACCAUGCUGCCCAAGUCAAGGAAAACUGCUUUGGAAAGGUUCUCGAAUCACAGCAGCAUACAGUAGGCCUGCGUCGGGGUAAUGUUUCACAGGUUUUUCCAGAUAAUAAUAUUCCCUUGGACACUAACUUGAAUUUCAGGUCUUAGAUUUUUCACACAUCAAAAGUGAACUACGCAAACUUAACUAAUUAUGUGCAUCGGAGUGCAUGAAAGUUGAGCAUUGCAUCAAAAGCAUGUCCAUUUACAAAGUGUAGGCUCGAAAUGAAACCUCAUAAAAGUCAUUAACUUUAUGCAUUAAACUUUUUGCGAGAGUAACGGCCUUUAAUCUGUAGAGUAAAAUUGCCCUGCGAGGAAAACUUAACUGGCUACAGACGUUUUAUGACUGUUGUGCCUUCGGCUUAAAGGAUAUUAGAAAAGUGAUUUGUGGGGGAACCUCUUGCAGACUUUAAAAACACAUAAUCUAAAAGAUUUGUGACCACACUCAGAGGUGCCAGGUCACUGACUGCAACAUACAAAAUGAAAAGCAACAAAUAAAAGGGCUGUGUCCUGCAAUGGCAAACAGGUAGUCUCAAUUUUGCUUCCACAGAAAUUGCACAAUUUCCUAAUUCUGUGUUUUAUGACUUCCAAUCGCUUUUUUUGAAUACCAGCAGCUGCCUUUCGUUUCUCUGGGUCUCCUCUGUUUAGUUUGGUGUGCAUAUUUCACCCUCGAGCCCCAACAAUGGGUCAGCUGCCACAGCGGAGGUGGAGAGCAAACAUGGAAAGAGCUGACUGGCCAUGAAAUAUUUAUGGUUCUUUAGUGUUUUGAUUGUAUGAGUUUUGACAGCUAUGGCACAUUACUGGGACCCUUCUCCAAACAAAAAGACCUGUCUGUUGUGACUUAGAGAGGAGAGGCAAAGAGCAUGCUUUCUCCACUGUACAUCGAUUCUAGCUUUGAUUUUUUUCCUUUGUCCUCUCUGAUUAUUAAAGAUAUCUCAGAAUUUUUUGUAUCGAUCCCCUUCCCUUUCAGUAUUGUUUUCAUCUUCCACCAUGUUUUCCAAUAUAAUAUUUUUCAAAUCUCUUAGAAAAGAGUGCUUCACUUCUUUCAUCUUUCUGCCUUCUCUUUACCCUUCAUAUCCCAUCGCAUAACCUCUCCCUUGUCAUCUCUGCACCACUUUCAUAAUGACAGAUUGAUGGCUGCCUCUGCACUAUGUCACAGUAACACAUACUUCACCAAGAUUGGUCCCGAUUAAUUUACAACAAGCUGAUUAAAUCUAUUUACACACUGACCGUAAAUAAUUUCACAUUUAGUCUAUUUAAAUCAACACUAAGUAAUCAACACUUAAAUUAAUUACAAUGUCAAUGUUUGACUCAGCUGCAAGUGCUAGAAAAUAAACAAGUGCAUUUAUGAAUAAAUGAAUAGUAACUGUGAGAAUUGACAAGAAAAACGAGUUAAUAUAUAACUGUGUUUUCUUGUUUUCACAUACAGGAGAUGAACAAACAUCCAUCAUUUAUGAAAGCCAGACUUUUCGUUGCUCUAAUUCACAAACAAACCUUUGCUGUUCAGACCUUAUUUUUACUUUACUGUUUACAUUCUACGCUGGGAACAGGAACAAUUCAAAAUUGUGCUCACGGCCUUUAUGUUUUGUAUGAAUACUGGAGCAGCCUCACACCAGGGACUAUCAAUAUCAAGGUCAUUUUCAGUUUUUAAAAAUUUGUUACUGAGUGGUAAGAGUGAGUGCUGUGGGUUUUAGGGUUAGGGCUGACAGCCUAUUCUUAAUCUAAAAAACUUCUGUCAUCAACACCUCAUAAGUCAACGCUAUUAAAUUAACAAUAGAAAACAUAGUAACCAAAUCAACUGAUUCAACUAUCUAAAAGCUUCAUAUCCAUGUUUUUUUUUCAAUUAAGCAUUAGAUUAUAUCAAACGAGUGUAAUUAUAAAUCUCAAUCAUUAAAAACUAAGAGAAAUUAUAGGUAAAGAUUGUUCAGCAAAUAUAUGAUCAUUUAAUAUACUGAUUCAAAAUGUUAACAUCCCGCCUAUGUGGACACUUUGCUCUAUUCCUAAUAAGUACCAAUAUAGAGCUUUGUAAAUUUGUUGUUUUGGGGCAUUUGCUGACAAGGCGGAUGCUGUUUCGCAGACCUCUAGAGGUUUCUUAACAAUGAAACGUAAAUAUGGGUCGCAAUAAGCAACUUACGGAGCAGGCUAUGGGUUGGUUUUUAUGGGAGAACAGUCGUGGAGCUGCUUAUCAAAUGACUGAGCUCCAUCAUUUAACAAUGACUUGCUGAGCCUGUGAAGUCACUGGGUCUGAUCACAUGAGCCCUGCAUGCGGUCUAUGCGUCUUUGUUGGCAGCUUGGUGAACCAUGUGAUUACUUUAGUGAGAUAGGAAAUGGUCACAGAGACUGGAGACUGAGGAAUCUUUAUUUUGCGUUCACAUUUCGGGUGAAAUGGAAGUUGGCGGACAAAAGCUUCAUCUAAGUUUUGCAUAAGCAUAUCUCCUCCUGCUGGUAACACACACAAACACACACUUCUUACAGUGGCUGUGCUGCCCGUCCCCUUUUCCCCAUGUCGUAGAAAGAUUAAAAAGUGCAUUCCCCAUCAAAGGUUGUAUGGCUUUUUUUGCAAAGCUUUCUAAUGGCAGCUCUUUUCCUUUUAUCUGGCUCAGGUCUACAGCCCUGCCUGCUCUGACACACUCUCUGAGUGGGAUAAAAGCAAAUGGAUGAACAAAAUGAACAUUUAUUUAUUUAUUUAUUGCCAUCGCACAAACUUUGACAAGAGAUGAAAUGGUGUAAGUUCCUCUGUUGAACAUGGCUAAAAGUUUUUGUGUCCUAAAUCAUGUGUAUGCAAAGUUGCUGGAAACAGAAUAUUAAACUAAUCUGGGGAUUUAAAAAUACAUUUUUGGAGAGCAGUUUAAUUUUAGAGUAGUGUCAGCAGUAACUACAGUAUGUACACAGAGAGUCAUUGUAGAAGUCCUCCCUCCCUCCCUGCGUCUGUUCUGUGCUACUCUGCAGGGUUUCCCUAAAUAACUCUUAUUUUGGGGAAUUGGUUGGAAGAUGGAUCCAGAAAAAGCGGGUCCACAAGGUCUAUGGUUCGAUCCCCGCCUCCUCCAGUCCAUGUGCCGAAGAGUCACAUGGGCAAGGCACUUAACCCUGAUAUUAAUGUGAUUAAUAUCAGGAUGUGAUUAUAACGUGAUUGAUAAAAAGCACCGUAUGAAUGUGUGUGAAUACUGUGAAGGGCUUUGGGUGAUCAGUAAGACGAUUUUAUUUUGUGUUAUGUAAAGACAGUCCAUUUACCAUUUUACAAGUAAAAGUUGAGCAUUCAAAAUUUUACUUGAGUGAAACUACAGAAGUAUCUUCAGAAAAAUCUACUUAAAUCUGCAAUAUUUGAUUUUUUUAAAUUUAGGCUAGCAGGGACAACGUCAUGUCCCUGCUAGCCUCUGUUCCACUAGCGUGAUUUUGGGAACAUUCAGAAACAAAUUACCAUUAACUAGUUCAACAAAGUUAGACUUUGUGAGCACAGAUAAAACUGCAGCUUGUGUCAACAAAGUGCGUGCUUUGUAACUUGGUUUCAUCCAUAUCCAUAAAAUUUGGUUAUAAUCUUUCUAGUUGUAAUCUCUAACAAUUUCUCCUGUGUUCAGUCUUCUCUGUAUUGCUGUUAUUACAGACAUGUUUGAGCUCACCGAGGGCCCUCGACUCACGUGGACUCACGUGGACUCACCGCUUCUGCCGAGCCGUGGUGGUCAGCCUCCUAGGCCGUAGGGGGUAAAGGAUUUGCUAAAAAACAUAUUAUAACAUACAUAACACUAAGGAACAUCCUUAUCUUGUUGUUAUGUUAUGCACUUUUGGGUAAUCUAUUCAUGGUUGAAUGCACUUAUUGUAAGUCGCUUUGGACAAAAACAUGCUGCUAAAUGAAUGCAAUGUAAUGUAAUCUUCACGUUUGAAGCCAGCCACAUGACAUUCUGAAAGUAGCUGUUCCAAGGCUGUAUUUUUACUUCCUUGUGUAACAACUGAAGGACUAACAUGUUGUCAUGUGGUAGCAGGUUCAGGUAGAACUUAUUAACUACAUAGAAAACCUUUUAUAGACUAAGUAUAUUGUAUGUACAACAUGAGUAACUUGUAACUGGUGAAUGAAGUGAAUAAGAAGUAAAAUAUUUCCCACUUUAAUAGAGUUGAAAAGACAGAUAAAGUAGCAUAAGAUGGAAAUACUCAUCUCAAGCAUACGUGCCUAAAUAUUGCACAUAAGUGAAACUGUGUAACUACAGAAAGAUGUUUUCCUCCUAUAAAUGACAAAUUAGAUUCAUGAUCAACGAACUUUGUGUCCUGCCUAUACAAGUAGCCAGUAGCUGAUUAAGGCUAUUAUUAGGUAAUGACUUGACUUGUAUUAAAGGAUGUUACUUCACAUCACAGAUUUGACCCUCCACAUGUGCUACUGUUCAGUAAAUGUACCAUUAUUACAUAACUGUCACUAGAGGCCCAAGUGGCAGCAAAAGUAAUACAGUUAUUGCUAAAUCUGCAGUGAUUGAGUAAAAAGGCUUGGUUAGAUUAAAACACUGUAUUUGGGUGGAGUAACAGCGCAGUGCAACAGCUGGGACAAAACAAUAAAAAGUGUGAGUUCUCACGCUCAAAAGACACACACACGCACACGGAAACUCCUUGUGUAUUUUUCGAAGUCUUACUGAAAAGGGAGUACAUGUCACACAGUGUAGUGAAUUGUUUAGUGUUCUUGUCCCAGGCAUAUAAAGCCUCGGUGUCUACUUUGGCUGAAAAGACAGAAAACCUUUAGGUUUGGGUUCUUUUAGACACACGAGACAUGAUGGUGUGUAUGUGAGAGUAACAGAUGCCUAAUAGAUGCCUGAAUAAUGAUACUGCUGUCAAAGCAGUGUCCUCUGUUGUACCUGCAUUUAGCUUGUACAAAGACUUGAAACGGGUCCCCUCUGGAGGCCGUGGAAGAAGUUUACCGGACAAAGGAAACUUUCUUUUUAAGCUUUAAUUGUGGAGGCUGCAAAGUCACAUGCAGCAUGACGAGAUAAACCAAAUUAACAAUGUCAAUAAGUAUAACAGUGCUGGUGCACGCAAACUUUGGCUGUGUAAAUAUAGAUAAGAAAAUACAAAACAGCCAACAACAAGCAAGCCAAAAAAAAAAUGUCCCUCAACCAUAUCAUUGUCCGAUAACAGUAGGCCUUCAUGUAAACUCCACUGAAUGUCACUGGCUUAAAAAAAAGGAAUUUGUAUACUGUUAGCUAUGAUGUGCCAGCAGCAGCCUUGUAGAUCCCUCUUCAGAAUAAAUCUCCACAUCCAAAAUCAA